AGGGAUGGGCCAUGGCUUAGUGGUAGAGCAUCUGCUUGCUAUGCAGAAGGUCCCAGGUUCAAUUCCCGGCAUCUCCA
Molecule: non-coding RNA, 77 nt
Organism: Euleptes europaea (tarantolino)
Lineage: Eukaryota; Metazoa; Chordata; Lepidosauria; Squamata; Sphaerodactylidae
Source: the annotation of a RefSeq genome assembly